GCAAAUACAACAUUCUAUUGUAGUCAGAGCAUCCGUUACUCAACAAAUCUGUAAGGAACUUUUCUUUCCACCUGCCAGGUAAUAAAACUGAGGCCCCUAAAUAUGAAAUGAUACAAUGAAUUAGUGUCAGAGCCAGAGCUAGUAGAUAGCUGUCUUGGUUUCCAUUUCAGUCUACCUUUUCCCUUGCCUGUGUUGAAGGGAAGCAUCUGAAGACUGCAGUAGUCCUUAGUUCUGAAUGCUCCGUAAGUCUGGGGAAAAGUCACAAAGCUUGAUUGAAAAGAGCAUGUGCAUACACUCUCAGCCUACUCCCACUGCAAGUCUUUACCUCACAAGGUGAUGAAUAAUAGAAAGGUUGUAACUGCAUAGAAGAAUCUUCCAUUUGGCUGGGGAGCUGGAGCUGCAGAGACAGAAAAGAGAAGAACCUAUAGAGGAGUGAAUGAGGAGGAAAAAACUGAGAAGAGAGAGAGAAAGGCAGGAGGCCAUUCCUCUGAUGAAUUCUCCCAUGAAUGAAGAGAGAUGAUUGAUAAAGGGACAUGGGGAACUUACAGUGGAUGAGAGGCCUCUGGAACUUGGUGCUUGAAAAAUCUACUUGCUCUACAUUAGUGAGGAGAUAUUCAUUGAGCAUUUACUAUGUGCAAGGCACUCUGCUGGACCCUUUGAGAGAAAAUGAAACUCUACCCUCAAGAAGCUCAGAGUUAAGAUGUAUCUAUAUUCUAGAGAGACAGUGGGGUGUGUGUGUGUGUGUGUGUGUGUGUGUGUGUGUGUGUGUGUGUGUGUGUGUGUGUGUGUAUAAAACAUUCAAUUUAGAUUGAGGAUCUGGGUUCAGAUUCCACUCUUCUACUUCAUUUCCUCUGUGACUUUGGGAAAAUUGUUUGACCUCUCUGAGCCUCUGUUGGGCCACAGCUGUUCAUCGUCCAGUGUAUAACUGAAAAGUUGUUACCCUAAAAAAAAAAAAACUACAUUACCCAGAAGCCCACUGACUUCCUGUCAUUAUAUACUUCCUGUAGAGAGGGGAUAUUAGGCAAGGACGUGAAGGUCCUGCCUCUUGACUUCCUGUCCUGAGCUUGGUGGUGGUAAGGCUUGCAUUUGAACUGGCUGACCAGCCACAGGCAUGUAGUUUUUAUUUUGUGUCCUCUUUAUUCUUUGAUUUCUAAUGAUCUUUAAUAAACCUCCUAAAUUAUAACA
This 1185-nucleotide long non-coding RNA is filed under the name Monodelphis domestica (gray short-tailed opossum). Its description in RNAcentral is "lncRNA (ENSMODG00000030958.2)". The record is from RNAcentral. Lineage: Eukaryota; Metazoa; Chordata; Mammalia; Didelphimorphia; Didelphidae.